This 2667-nucleotide unclassified non-coding RNA is filed under the name Hevea brasiliensis (rubber tree). The record is from RNAcentral. Lineage: Eukaryota; Viridiplantae; Streptophyta; Magnoliopsida; Malpighiales; Euphorbiaceae.
GUUUUGAGGAAAUUAUUUAUAAAAUUAGAAAAUAGGAGUGUAUUGCUACAACUUUAAGCAGAGACGCUUGUAAGUAAAGGCAGAUGUUACCGCUAUAUCAUUAGCGAAUACAAAAGGUAUCUCAGGUACAUGGCUGGCUUCCUUCUCAGCAGAUUUUACUCUAUAUAUUACAGAAUUUGAUACAAAAAUUUCAACCAAUCUGACCUGGACAUGAGACAAGCAGCAAGUAGGCUUCUUUGCACUUCUAUUAUCCCAAUAGAUUAAAACGAAAGUGAUGAAGAAAUUUACAUCCGCAAAUUGUACUAAGCAUGGUGGGGCAUACAAUUAGAAUUGCUCCAAGACCAGCUUGCGCAUGAAUGCCUCUGGAGCUAAGCCACCAGUGAGCAGCCUGAAUUGACCAAGGGCCUGCCUGAUAAACAUCUCAACCCCGCUCACCACAAUUGUACCAGCCUCUUUAGCCUCUUGCAAGAGCCUUGUAUUUCUAGGCGUGUAAACGGCAUCAAAUACCAACUCAUAUGCUUUUAAGGCCUCCUAAAGACAAGAAAUGUGAAGGAUUUAUAGAUCAGUAUAAAUUCUCUGUUACACAGUUCUAUAGAGUGAGACACAGAGACAGAGAGAACUUUUGAAAUAGGGGAUUGGUCUGAAUUAGGUUCCAUUCCAACUGCAGAAGCAUUUGCAAGAAUCAUCCCAUUUUCUGUAGGGAAUCUGUCCAGAUUUUCGUAUGGUAGUGCUUUUCCUGACACUGCAUUUGCAAGAGCCUUUGCUCUCUCUUUACAAAACAUAGCAACAUAGUUGGACAUAGAAGUAUAUGUUAAUCGUAUUGUUUGAAGAGAAAAAUUUAAGCAUUGCUUACCAUAAUUACGGUUGAAAAUAAUGACCCGAGUCCCUCUCUUUUGGCACCAAAAACAAGGGCUCUUCCCGCUCCUCCUGCCCCAACCAACACAAAAGUUUUCCCAGCUAGAGGUGAAGCAUCUGAUGCUCCUCUGUUGGCAGCCUGUCUUUCUCUUAGUGCAUCCUCUAUUGCAUUAAUAGAAGCCUCACAAUCUGUAUUAUAGCCAACUAGCUUCCCAUCAGUAGGUCUCCUUACUAUAGUAUUUACUGCUCCUAUGGACUGGAUGACAAACAAUGCCACAGCUUAGAAGCUUAUGUGUAAAACUAUCAAUAUAACCAACCAAGAACUUCAAGAGGGCCAGUGCCAUUAAUCUAACUUGUCUUCAUUGAUUAUUAAAUACAAUAUCAGAUCUCUUCUGUUACUGAGAUUUAUGGAAUUCUGGUAAUCAUCAUAAAUUGCUGCUAAACAAUAUUAUUGACCUCUUGCACUGCCUCAUUAGUUAGCAGAAUUCCUGACCUUGGCCAGUGGAUGGACUUCAUCGCAGCAGCCAACCGCUGCUUCCUUGUGUGGGAUUCCAACACUAGAUCCAUCAAGAAAAGAGAAAUUCCAUUUACUAUAGAAAAAAAAAGGUCAAUAAUACAAUGUUGGAAUGUAAAAAAAUGGAUCCAUAUAGCCAACAAUAUGCAUAAUUGAGUUGAGUCGAGUAUGGUAUACUGCAGUUCAUAAAUUGAAUUUGAAUAUGAGCAUACUGGGGAGGUAUGUAAACCUCAAUGGCUGCAUACCUAAAACCGGCGAAGUCAGUGCUUGUAAAGGUUCUAAAGAAUUCUUUGAUAUCGUCCACUUGCAUGGGAACGUAAAUUCCAUUAUAUCCUGUGUGUCUAAAGGCAGGGUUAUGCAGAAUAGGACCUUUACUGUGGCCAACUGGAUUUGAAAUUAGACCAAAAACUUUUGUUUCUGCAUUUAUAUAUUCAAGCUUAUAAACAUGCCUAAGACUGAACAGAGUUGGCAUGCCUGGAAUUGUCUUGUCUCCCAAAGAUCCGUACACCAGAAACCCACCAAAUUUUGGACCCAACAGCUGGCUUAUAAGCCCUCUACUGCCCACUGCAAGAGCAAUCAAUGGCACCUGGCAAUAAGCAAGCAUCUUAAAAACAGAAGCCAAAUCUGUGAUAUAAUCCACAUUGAUCACUAGCUUAACCACAUCUGCUCCUGUGGACUGCAAACAAGCAAUCAGAUUACCAAGUUUCUCCAUGGAAGGUUUCCCACCAUUCACAUAGCUGGAAACAAUUAACUUGCUAUUGGUUCUGUUGUAUACAUAUUCAGCCAUAUUGACAUCAGAAGCCACCUCAUAGUCCAUUUCGACAAAUUCAACAUUUAGGUCGAUAGCCAUUCUCAUUACUUGCAGACAAGUGUUGAUGUCGCUGUCCCCACUGCUCGAGUUCUUCCGUGAAUACAGCCUGAAAGAAACAAUAGCAGGGAGAGUUCUUAGUUGAAUGAGUUUGUGGACCUGAGAAAUGUGAGAGAAUGUCAUGGAAUCGAUGCGAAGUUCAACAAGGUCUGCACCUUCUGCUCUUGCUUUCUCCAUGGAAGAUAGCAUUUCCCCUGCCGUUUCACAUUCCAGUGGAGUGCACACCAGCACGUUGUUCUGGAAGUGGAAUGCCAUUAAACUUAAAAGAGAGAGGGAGAUAAGAAAAGGCAGCAGAGAAAGGAAGAAGAUUUGAUGAUGAGGGACAGAUUCUUUUAGUUCUGAGUUCUAGCUUGUUCAGUGCUCCCACUGGACACCUGAGCUUCUUUAUAGACCCAACCAAUGGUCCAUUCUUAGAUAGAAUGAGUUCUAG